GGGCGGACGUAGCCAAG
RNAcentral lists this transfer RNA (17 nucleotides) under Andreaea rupestris var. fauriei. RNAcentral's name for it is "partial tRNA-His". The record is from RNAcentral. Lineage: Eukaryota; Viridiplantae; Streptophyta; Andreaeopsida; Andreaeales; Andreaeaceae.